CUACGGGCUGCUCCAGUGGGGAAUAUUGCACAAUGGGCGCAAGCCUGAUGCAGCCAUGCCGCGUGUAUGAAGAAGGCCUUCGGGUUGUAAAGUACUUUCAGCGGGGAGGAAGGGAGUAAAGUUAAUACCUUUGCUCAUUGACGUUACCCGCAGAAGAAGCACCGGCUAACUCCGUGCCAGCAGCCGCGGUAAUACGGAGGGUGCAAGCGUUAAUCGGAAUUACUGGGCGUAAAGCGCACGCAGGCGGUUUGUUAAGUCAGAUGUGAAAUCCCCGGGCUCAACCUGGGAACUGCAUCUAAUACUGGCAAGCUUGAGUCUCGUAGAGGGGGGUAGAAUUCCAGGUGUAGCGGUGAAAUGCGUAGAGAUCUGGAGGAAUACCGGUGGCGAAGGCGGCCCCCUGGACGAAGACUGACGCUCAGGUGCGAAAGCGUGGGGAGCAAACAGGAUUAGAUACCCGAGUAGUC
This 464-nucleotide ribosomal RNA is filed under the name uncultured bacterium. RNAcentral describes it as "partial 16S ribosomal RNA". It matches the Rfam family "Bacterial small subunit ribosomal RNA", at positions 339 to 795 of the family's 1533-position model. The record is from RNAcentral.